Molecule: non-coding RNA, 537 nt
Organism: Canis lupus familiaris (dog)
Lineage: Eukaryota; Metazoa; Chordata; Mammalia; Carnivora; Canidae
Source: the annotation of a RefSeq genome assembly
AUCAGGACACAACAGAGACAAACCACCAUGGAGUGUGUGCUCGGCUGGGUUUCCCUUGUCGCUAUUUUAAAAGGUGUCCAGGGAGAGGUACAGCUGGUGGAGUCUGGGGAAGAUUUGGUGAAGCCUGGAGGGUCCCUGAGACUCUCCUGUGUGGCCUCUGGAUUCACCUUCAGUAGCAGUGAAAUGAGCUGGGUCCACCAGGCUCCAGGGCAGGGGCUGCAGUGGGUCUCAUGGAUUAGGUAUGAUGGAAGUAUCUCAAGGUAUGCAGACACUGUGAAGGGCCGAUUCACCAUCUCCAGAGACAACGUCAAGAACACGCUGUAUCUGCAGAUGAACAGCCUGAGAGCCGAGGACACGGCCAUAUAUUACUGUGCCGACACAGAACCAUCUGGUUCUGAAGGUCAUGUGUACUUGGUGUGCUCAGCGACCAGUAGCUUCUACUGGACCAUGAGGAUCCUCAGGGAGAGGAGCUUCAUUGAAGGACCUUCGACCUGCAGGGCAAAACUCAUGGAUGCUUCAGGUGCUUAUGUCAGCUAA